This is a long non-coding RNA of Myotis lucifugus (little brown bat), 618 nucleotides long. RefSeq lists it as uncharacterized. The record is from RefSeq and is a predicted model, not a curated record. The transcript is spliced from 5 exons. NCBI's taxonomy places the organism in Eukaryota, Metazoa, Chordata, Mammalia, Chiroptera, Vespertilionidae.
CCUCGCAGCCACCCAGCUGGACCCGAGGGACCUGCAGGGGCUGUUCCAGGAGGCGGCGGCCAGCGUCUCCUGCAUCAGCGCCAGCGCGACCUCCUUGGAGCAGGGCCUCCGGUCCCUGGGGACACCGAGGGACACCCAGGAGCUGCGGGACAGCCUGCACCUGGCGCAGCAGGAGACCAACCGCACCAUCGCCACCAGCACCAGUGUGGUGAAGCGGCUGGCGGAGCUGCUGCGGGGCUGCUCCCGGCAGGAGCGGCUUCAGCUGGACCGCCUGAAAACUCAGCUCUCGGACGCCAUUCAGCGCUACGGGGCGGUGCAGACGACAAUUGCGGAGAAGUCCCGAGCUCUGCUUCCCACGGCGCAGACGGGCGGCCGGCAGCAGGUGGGUGCCGGGGACUCGCUGUGGCCGUGACGGAGGGGACCGGGGAAGAGCAGGAGGGGCUGAGGGCAGGGCCUUGGUCGCAGGGGUCGGCCUGGACAAAUGACCUUUAAAAAGUUGGCAUUUGACAACCGGCCGGCGUGGCUCAGUGGUUGUUCGUCGGCCUAUGAACAGGAGGUCACAGUACGAGGCCUGACCAGGGCACGUGCCUGGGUUGUGGGCUUGAUCCCCAGUGUGGG